AUACGGAGGGUGCGAGCGUUAAUCGGAAUUACGGGGCGUAAAGCGCGCGUAGGCGGCUUAUUAAGUCAGAUGUGAAAUCCCCGGGCUCAACCUGGGAACUGCAUCUGAUACUGGUAAGCUAGAGUUUUGGAGAGGGAAGUAGAAUUUCAGGUGUAGCGGUGAAAUGCAUAGAGAUCUGAAGGAAUACCAGUGGCGAAGGCGACUUCCUGGCCAAAAACUGACGCUGAGGUGCGAAAGCGUGGGUAGCAAACGGGAUUAGAAACCCUUGUAGUCC
Molecule: ribosomal RNA, 274 nt
Filed under: uncultured bacterium
Lineage: Bacteria
Description: partial 16S ribosomal RNA
Rfam family: Bacterial small subunit ribosomal RNA
Source: RNAcentral